CUUAUUCUGCUGCCACAAUGCAAGCAUAGUUUGUUAUUUUUGUUACUGCCUUUUUUGAGAGAUUAUGUAUCUAUAUAGCUACCUGUCUAGAUCUGCAUCUGUGUGCCUAUGUAUAUAUUAUACACACACAGAGGCACUCACCACUGACACGCCUUUCCUUGCGGAUUGGGGUGGGGGUGAAAAUGUUUUCUCCAGUUCAACAGGAGUGCUCGAUCCAAGUCAGUCAUAUUUAUAAUAUGCCUGCUCUUUGUUUGAAAUUAAAUUUGGGCACAGGAAGCACACAGAGACAUUUAGGUUGUUUCAAAAGUCAAUUUCUGAGUACCAUUUCAAUCCGGAGGCUUUUGGCUGAGUCCAGGUAUAAAUUAGCCAUAAACAGUCAAUGACCCACAGUAGAAUUCUGGUAAACUGUUGAGAAAUCUGGGUAAAAGGCUGCCUUCAAUUCUAAGCUUUAUUUUUUUUUUUUUGUGGUUUUUGUUGUUAUUGUUUGUUUCUGUUAUCGUUGUUGUUUACUCUUUAAUCAUAACUACUUUGACAAUAGAGCCCGGGUCCUUGGUUCACAUGGAAUAAUAUAGAUGUGCUUCUAGACGGCGCAUUAGUCCAUUUGUUCACACCUGUCAGCGGGGUUUUACUACAUGGACUUAAAAGGCAACAAUAAAUCCAGGGUUUGUAUGUGCCGUAGAUCCCCGCAAGAACAGUGCAUUUGUAUUAGAGAUGUAAGUUUUAAGUAUGGCAUUGUUGCCUUCUCUCAAGUUCUCUGGGACUUUUUAAUUUUUAUUACUACUAUUGUUGAUAUAUGAUUAUGGUCAGAAGGCCUCUUCUCCCCUUCCUUACUCUCUCCCACUCUUCCUGGCUUUCCCCCACAGAGAAUGCUAGACCAAUAUGGCUUUUUGCCUUGACCCUGUUGUGGCAGUGUUUGUUCUUGCUCCAAGUGUGUUAUUCAUGCAGGUUUAUCCCCUCCGUGGCCUCCGGGCUCUGCAUGUCUAUGAUGUGUCACUGGACGGUCAUCCUUGCUGGUUAUGGGUGGAUCGCAGCUCUUCACCAUCAAGUGCAUUCAUGAUUUGCUCCUGUGAGGUGGUUUGAAGCUGAAAUAGAACUGACAUGCAGUUGGUUGACUAGCCAAACCUCUGCUCGCUCUCACUUUGUCUUGUAGGAAGCCUGGUAGCUUGUCAGCUGGAGAAAGACGGUUUGUAGAAUCAGUCUCGUGGUGGUUGGAAAUCUAUCUGUGGCUGCACAGUAUUGAUGCUGUCAAGCAAACAGCAGAGGCGUGGCCAAGUGUAGGCAUGCUUAACUAGUUGGGGUUCUUCCUGAUGACCAAGUGUAGGUAUGCUUAACUAGUCGGGGUUCUUCUUGAUGACCAAGUGUAGGUAUGCUUAACUAGUUGGGGUUCUUCCUGAUGCAAGAAGUCAGUCACGGUUCAAGGCGCAUGGCUAUUGGAUAUCCAUUUAGUCUUCACAGAGGCUGACCGCCCUGUGCUGCAGGCAGGGUGGUCACAACUGCUCACCAUGUGAACACAGUACCUCAGUUCCGUCCCUGGCUGCAGUCACCGUGUGCUCAGUGUUUUCUCCUAGGCACCAGGGACAAGCUUCUCAAAGCCGUGUGAUCUACCCUAGUCUUGGGUGCCUCUAGUAUACGUGACCAGGUGUUGUCCUGCAUGUAAAUCUCCGAGCAGAGUCUGUCUCUUCCAGCCCAUACUGGUAAUCUGUGGCACAAGUGGAUGAGAGUGUCCUGCAUGCACCAAUGGUGCAGAACAUGCACGGUGACUGGAAAGUCAAACUCCUUUCGAAAUGUCCCGAGGACUGGAUCAGUUCCAACAUGUCUGCCAUUAUCUGAUGCCUUGCAUUGUGGUUUUCUGCAAGCAACCUAGGUUGGCUUUGGUUACCCGUGACCUCCCGGUCUGGGGUUGCAACAGAAGACGGGGAUGACUUUGCUCACUAUUCCAAAUACUGCCUUUAUGUAAGGCAGAGGGAAGGGGAAGGUUUUUAUUUGUUUGUUUGUAUUUUAAUUGUUUCACCCCUCCUCCCACUCUUUUCUUUUGGUGGCUUCCACCACCCUGAAUGGUGACGGACUCCUGAGCCUGCCGCCUUGGGCUCCCCUUAGGCUCACAGUUCAGAUCUGCAUGCCUUGCUUGCAUUGUCCUGGUAUCUGAAUGUUGACUCCUCAUUUAGGAGUUGAACAUGAAUUUCCAAAAUUUUCAUGGGGCUUGUGGCAACACAAGCAGUGAAUCUGUGUAUAAAAUUUACUGGCCUUCCUCACUUACCUGCUCUAGUAUCGUAUCGUGUGUGCGUGCGUGUGUGACGUCAGGCUGCCACGUAAACUUCAGAGAAGAACCUUAAAGCAGACCAUCCAUUUUUGCAUGCUCUCUUCUAAGUAGAAUGUUCAAUGUAACUAACUAAACCUGCAUGUUAAAGAGACCUAGGUUCUUUCUUUCUUGCUUUCUUUCUUUCAAUUUGCUUUUGGUUUCCUGUAUAUUUGCUUACUGUGCUGUUCUAGUGGUUGUAGGGUAAAGACGCACUGGUGAAGCAGUCGUAGCGCCGACAGAAGGUGAUUCCAGUUGUAUAUGUCACGCAGCAUUCGAAGGGACUGUGCACGCUCUAAAAAUCACAGUUGCUUCUAAGCCAGAUUUCAUUUCUAUUCUUGUUUUAUGUGCCAAACCCCAAAGUGCAUUGGGCCUGAAUCUCUGAACUCUGUAGACCCAUUAGAAAGAAGACUGUUCUGAGCAACACAAACUGUAGUGCCUGAAAACACUUAACACUGAUUGUCUGAGAGAUGGAGGUCCUCCAAAGAUGACACAGGGAAAAUACUCAAAAUAAUCAUGGCCGAAAUGUCUGUGUUCCUUGGGAAUGCUGCGCUCUCUGUAUUCUCCACCAUUGGUGCAGUUCGAACGAACGAACGAACGAGUAGAGUUCAGAGGUCUUCGUGUUCACAUUUAAAACUAGAAAAACGACCUCAUUUUUUGAGCUUGAAUUCAUUUUUGAUUUUAAUUUUAUUUUAUACAACGUGUAGACAGUUCCCUGUUCUCUGCAUUUAGAAGUAUACACAGUACAACUCUGUUAAUUCUGUAAGUAAUUUUUAUAAUUAUGAUGUAACUCUAUCCUUCCUUAAAACAUUCAAAAUAAACCCUUUAUGUGCAACUUC
Molecule: long non-coding RNA, 3135 nt
Filed under: Rattus norvegicus (Norway rat)
Lineage: Eukaryota; Metazoa; Chordata; Mammalia; Rodentia; Muridae
Description: long non-coding RNA NONRATT012824
Source: RNAcentral